UCGUCCUCGGCCAGCCACACGGGAACGGCGGAGCCCAGGCCCAGGCCCGCCAUGGCCAACAGGCGGCCGGGGCGCGGACGUCGGGGUUGAGCCGGGCGAGUCUCCUCAGGCUCCUCCCUCGCCCUUCCUCUUCCCCUUGCCCUCCUCCUUUUCUCGGCCGCCUUUUCUCCUCCUUCCUUGGCGCCACCCCGUCUCCUUCCUCCGAUCCUGCUGAAAACAGACUUAGAGCCUCCAGUGCCCAGCUGGAAAGACAGAGCUGACCUUCAGUGGCGGCCUCUUGCCCUGGGAAACCAACAUGCCGCGAGCUGCUAGAAACCCGCGGAGGUCUCCAAGAUUCCCUUUAGCUGGAUGUCCCUCCAUUAAGAUGCAGCACCGUUGGAUGUCUUCGUCCGUUGGCUUAAAAAAAAAUAAACAACAAAAAAGAUGCAACACCGACAACUCUUGGGAGGAGAGGACUCCAUUCAGCAGCUUAUUUAUGAGAAUGAGCCCACGAAGUGUCAUCCAGCUCCUCUAACAAGUAGCAGGGGAUUAAAGAUCACCGAUGCACAGCCACAGGGAGCGUCCUCAAAAAUGCUGAUGUUCGGCCCCGCUCGCAGGGAGUCUGAUUUCAUUGUCUUGGGUGGAGCACGGGUAUUUUGUAAAACCUCCCCCAGGUGAUUCUGACGCGCAUUCAAGGUUGAGUGAGCGAACCCUUGGCUUUUUAACUCGCAGGUAUAAUGCAGAGUUGUGCGCUGUGUCCUUACCGCCUUCUGCGGGAUGUAAGCGCGUUUCCCAACAGACACUCGGACAAAAUUCUAGAAAGUGUUUUCCUGAGAAGGCUCACUCACUCACUCACUUCGCAUCCCAGUCCUAAACGCAUUGCAACCAGAAAAUGUUAGAGCUAAAAGAGCACCACGUCCUCCCAGAUGACCCAAAGAGGUUAAAAAAAAAAAAAAGAGAAAAAAGAAAAACUUGCAGGCUCUCAUGGUAACAAUGAAGCGUCAGAGACUAAAACCCACAACUCCCCAAUCUGUUGAAAUGAACUAACAACGUCUCAUGCUUUACUUUAUCCUUUCUGGCCUGGGCUCAAAGUAGGUAUCAGAUAAUACAAGUUUGUAGCCGACCUUUGGAUCACUUGAAGUCAGGAGUUCAAGACCAGCCUGGCCAACAUGGUGAACCCUCAUCUCUACUGAAAAUACAAAAAGAAAAGAAAAGAAAAGCCAGGCGCCCUGGCGCAUGCCUGUAAUCCCAGCUACUUGGGAGGCUGAGGCAGGAGAAUCUCUUGAACCCGGGAGGCGGAGGUUUCAGUGAGCCAAGACUGCGCCACUGCACUCCAG
RNAcentral lists this long non-coding RNA (1316 nucleotides) under Homo sapiens (human). Its description in RNAcentral is "LHRI_LNC200.1". Lineage: Eukaryota; Metazoa; Chordata; Mammalia; Primates; Hominidae. The record is from RNAcentral.